CAUUUACAUAUAGUGCAAUAUGUAGAUUUUUCCACAUCGUUGUCUUCAUUUUUCUUUUACUCUUACACCCUGUUAAAAUUAGUUAAAACAUCAGAAAUCGCAAUCACCAAACACCCCGGAAAAAUUGAGGAACCGAAAGGUGAUUUCAAUUGAAUUGAGAUUGCGUUGAUUUGAAUUGAGGAAACGAAAGGACAUCAACUCAAUUCAACUCACUUGUCUUCACCGCAUCACAACAAGUGGCUGGAAAGUCGCCCUCCCUGACGACCACCGAGUCCGUUGGUGAGUUCUAAUGGAGAUAAAUUGACAUAUUUUUACAGUUCUUCAGAAAUUUCAAGUGAAUGCUGCAAGUUUACAUGACAUUCUAGAUCUUGGGAAACCGCAAUUAUAUUUACUUAUCGAAAAACCAUAACGUCCGAUAACGUCGCGUAUUUUUGUGGUUUUCUAACCGCAAACGUUUUUUAGAAACAAACUGUACGACAGUCUUGGUUGGUUAAACUAAAUUGCACGGCAACUAUUUGUUGUGCUAGUUGCCACUCGUGAGAAAAAGCAUUAAGCAUCGAAAGCAAAUUGUCUUCCUUGAAUUGCAGAAUGAAAUCCAACACAUCUUCGAACCGCAUUUUUAUUAACUAUCUCUUGUGCUUCCUGUUGUUUCCUGACAUUCUCUGCCUCGCCACACCCUCUAAUCAAAGAGAUCGACAGGAAAUUCAUCAGAGAGUCGCUCAGAAUUUUAUUUUUGGUUCUGUUAACUUCGCCAACCGUAUGCCCGUAUCCCUUACGAAUGAUAGGCUAUGUCCGCCUACACAACAUAUUAACCGACAGGGGAAAUGUGUACACGGCGGAAAAAUUGGGUAGACAACACUGACACACAAAUAAUCAGAGACAUCAGGAUCACUUCCUAUAAGCUGUGUGUACUUGAAAUCGACCAUUUUGCCAAACUUCUAUUAAACACUUCGUGAAUAUGAUUAA
This is a long non-coding RNA of Daphnia pulex (common water flea), 966 nucleotides long. RefSeq lists it as uncharacterized. The record is from RefSeq and is a predicted model, not a curated record. NCBI's taxonomy places the organism in Eukaryota, Metazoa, Arthropoda, Branchiopoda, Diplostraca, Daphniidae. The transcript is spliced from 3 exons.